GAGAAAGGGGAAGGAGAACCGUGAGAGAGAGAGAGGGAGAGAGAGAAGAGGCAAAGCUUCUCCCUAAGGAAUUCAACAUCCAUGGAAGCUUGAAGAUGGUUGAAGAAGAUAGAAGAGAGAGGAAAGAUCAACCAAAAGCUUGGGAAAAAUUGAAGAGACUAAGGGAUGAACAAAGGUUUGGGUAAGGUCGAGACGAGGACAUUGUACCAUUACCACCGGGAACCGAUCACUGUAACCAACCAAGUGGUCAGUCCUAGUCAUGACACCCGUUUUCUUUUGUCAACCUUCGUGGGUUCAGGCACUGCACGAAGCCAUUUAUUUUUGUAAAGUCUAUUGAAAUGUUGGCUUAAUUUUGAUUACCCAUUUAAAGUUAAAGAGGUAGAACUUCAAUGAUUUUUAUAUAAGCCUAAUGAUGGGGCUGGGUCUGUACAUAUGGUUGUUUAUCACCGAUGCUACAACAUAUGGUUUGGAGCUUUAUCUAUUUUCCAUGAUGAAUGUGAUGUAUAAGAGGUCCUGGCAUGUAGAUGUAGCUCAAUGGAAUUUAUAUGUAUAGUUAUUUUCCUACUUUAUGCUUC
Molecule: non-coding RNA, 575 nt
Organism: Camellia sinensis
Lineage: Eukaryota; Viridiplantae; Streptophyta; Magnoliopsida; Ericales; Theaceae
Source: RefSeq, a predicted model, not a curated record